Molecule: long non-coding RNA, 248 nt
Organism: Octopus sinensis (East Asian common octopus)
Lineage: Eukaryota; Metazoa; Mollusca; Cephalopoda; Octopoda; Octopodidae
Exons: 2
Source: RefSeq, a predicted model, not a curated record
UUGAGAAGGGGCUAUUUUGAUGACGGUUUGUUAUGGGUUAUGUUCUUCAGGUUUAUUUUGUUUAGGAAAUUUUAUAUAAGUUUUAUGAAAAAAAUUAAUAGUCGAAGAUUAUUUUUAUGUGGAGGGAUAAUUAAUUAUAAUCUUAUAAUGAGUUUAUUAAUAUUUUUAUUAUGUAUUUGUUAUAUGGGAGCUCCUCCAUUUAUUAAUUUGAUUAGUGAGAUUAUAUUAUACAUUUCUAUAUAUAUAUA